This 73-nucleotide transfer RNA is filed under the name Camelus bactrianus (Bactrian camel). It matches the Rfam family "tRNA". Rfam says of the family: Transfer RNA (tRNA) molecules are approximately 80 nucleotides in length. Lineage: Eukaryota; Metazoa; Chordata; Mammalia; Artiodactyla; Camelidae. The record is from Rfam by way of RNAcentral. RNAcentral also lists the same sequence under 3 other names.
GAGGGUAUAGCUCAGUGGGAGAGUGAGUGCUUAGCAUGCAUGAAGUCCUGGGUUCAAUCUCCAUAUACCUCCA